UCGAGUUUUCUCUUUUUUUUUGUUAAAAAUGUAUGACUCUAUAAAUUUUAGACCGUGAGGCCAAACUUGGCAUGUGAUACCUUUUCGGAAAGCCCAAAGAGAGCUCUCCGAUGAAUGAGGAAGCAUAAUGGAAUUCUUUUCUUUGUUUUUUUCUACUCUAAAUUUUGACCUUAAUGUAUUUUUUCAGGCCUUUUUCGUGAUCUUUGCUAUAUUACGGGGCAAAAAUUAAAUGUUCGGACAUUAUUUUUGAAUACUUUGCGUUUAUCAAAGCUCAUAUGGACAAGAUAGGGUAUUCCUACAUAGCUGGUGGUACCCACGGCAAAUAGAUCAUAAAGUCUUCAAAAAAUAAUAGAUAGAAUUGCAUUGCAUGUAUUAACAGCUGCGAUCAUACCAGCACUAAUGAACCGGAUCCCAUCAGAACUCCACAGUUAAGCGUGCUUGGGCGAGAGUUGUUCUAGGAAGGAUGACCUCUAGGAAAGUCCUCGUGUUCCAUCCCUCUUUUGUUUCGGUUUUUCUCUUUUUUUUUGUU
RNAcentral lists this small RNA (529 nucleotides) under Arabidopsis thaliana (thale cress). The record is from RNAcentral. Lineage: Eukaryota; Viridiplantae; Streptophyta; Magnoliopsida; Brassicales; Brassicaceae.